RNAcentral lists this unclassified non-coding RNA (329 nucleotides) under soil metagenome. RNAcentral's name for it is "partial contains 5.8S ribosomal RNA, internal transcribed spacer 2, and large subunit ribosomal RNA". The stretch from base 1 to 120 matches the Rfam family "5.8S ribosomal RNA", at positions 35 to 154 of the family's 154-position model. The record is from RNAcentral.
GAUGAAGAACGCAGCGAAAUGCGAUAAGUAAUAUGAAUUGCAGAAUUCAGUGAAUCAUCGAAUCUUUGAACGCACAUUGCGCCCCUUGGUAUUCCGAGGGGCAUGCCUGUUCGAGCGUCAUUAUAACCCCUCAAGCUCAGCUUGGUGUUGGGGCCUGCUGCACUGGCAGCCCUUAAAAUCAGUGGCGGCGCCAUCUGGCUCUAAGCGUAGUAAUUCUUCUCGCUAUGGAGUCCUGGUGGAUGCUUGCCAUCAACCCCCAAUUUUUCUAUGGUUGACCUCGGAUCAGGUAGGGAUACCCGCUGAACUUAAGCAUAUCAAUAAGCGGAGGA